RNAcentral lists this ribosomal RNA (254 nucleotides) under uncultured bacterium. Its description in RNAcentral is "partial 16S ribosomal RNA". It matches the Rfam family "Bacterial small subunit ribosomal RNA", at positions 524 to 776 of the family's 1533-position model. The record is from RNAcentral.
GACGUAGGGGGGCCAGCGUUGUUCGGAAUUACUGGGUGUAAAGGGUUCGUAGGCGGUGUGGCAAGUCGGGAGUGAAAUCUCUGGGCUCAACCCAGAGUCUGCUUCCGAAACUGCUGUGCUUGAGUGUGGGAGAGGCGCGUGGAAUUGCAGGUGUAGCGGUGAAAUGCGUAGAUAUCUGCAGGAACACCCGUGGCGAAAGCGGCGCGCUGGACCACUACUGACGCUGAGGAACGAAAGCUAGGGGAGCAAACAGG